UGAGGAAUAUUGGUCAAUGGGCGAGAGCCUGAACCAGCCAAGUAGCGUGAAGGAUGAAGGUCCUACGGAUUGUAAACUUCUUUUAUACGGGAAUAAAGUAUCCUACGUGUAGGAUUUUGUAUGUACCGUAUGAAUAAGCAUCGGCUAACUCCGUGCCAGCAGCCGCGGUAAUACGGAGGAUGCGAGCGUUAUCCGGAUUUAUUGGGUUUAAAGGGAGCGCAGACGGGAGAUUAAGUCAGUUGUGAAAGUUUGCGGCUCAACCGUAAAAUUGCAGUUGAUACUGGUUUCCUUGAGUGCAGUUGAGGCAGGCGGAAUUCGUGGUGUAGCGGUGAAAUGCUUAGAUAUCACGAAGAACCCCGAUUGCGAAGGCAGCUUGCUAAACUGUAACUGACGUUCAUGCUCGAAAGUGUGGGUAUCAAACAGGAUUAGAUACCCUGGUAGUCCACACGGUAAACGAUGGAUACUCGCUGUUGGCGAUAUACUGUCAGCGGCCAAGCGAAAGCAUUAAGUAUCCCACCUGGGGAGUACGCCGGCAACGGUGAAACUCAAAGGAAUUGACGGGGGCCCGCACAAGCGGAGGAACAUGUGGUUUAAUUCGAUGAUACGCGAGGAACCUUACCCGGGCUUAAAUUGCAGACGAAUUACGAGGAAACUUGUAAGCCGCAAGGCGUCUGUGAAGGUGCUGCAUGGUUGUCGUCAGCUCGUGCCGUGAGGUGUCGGCUUAAGUGCCAUAACGAGCGCAACCCUCGUGGUCAGUUACUAACAGGUUAAGCUGAGGACUCUGGCCAGACUGCCAUCGUAAGAUGUGAGGAAGGUGGGGAUGACGUCAAAUCAGCACGGCCCUUACGUCCGGGGCUACACACGUGUUACAAUGGGGGGUACAGAAGGCCGCUACCUGGUGACAGGAUGCCAAUCCCAAAAACCUCUCUCAGUUCGGAUCGAAGUCUGCAACCCGACUUCGUGAAGCUGGAUUCGCUAGUAAUCGCGCAUCAGCCAUGGCGCGGUGAAUACGUUCCC
This 1017-nucleotide ribosomal RNA is filed under the name uncultured bacterium. RNAcentral's name for it is "bacterial SSU rRNA". It matches the Rfam family "Bacterial small subunit ribosomal RNA", at positions 355 to 1375 of the family's 1533-position model. The record is from RNAcentral.